This 497-nucleotide ribosomal RNA is filed under the name uncultured bacterium. RNAcentral's name for it is "partial 16S ribosomal RNA". It matches the Rfam family "Bacterial small subunit ribosomal RNA", at positions 28 to 507 of the family's 1533-position model. The record is from RNAcentral.
GAUGAACGCUGGCGGCGUGCCUAAUACAUGCAAGUCGAGCGAACAGACGAGGAGCUUGCUCCUCUGACGUUAGCGGCGGACGGGCGAGUCACACGUGGAUAACCUACCUAUAAGACUGGGAUAACUUCGGGAAACCGGCGCUAAUACCGGAUAAUAUAUUGCACCGCAUGGUUCAAUAGUGAAAGACGGUGUUGCUGUCACGUAUAGAUGGAUCCGCGCCGCAUUAGCUAGUUGGUAAGGUAACGGCUUACCAAGGCGACGAUGCGUAGCCGACCUGAGAGGGUGAUCGGCCACACUGGAACUGAGACACGGUCCAGACUCCUACGGGAGGCAGCAGUAGGGAAUCUUCCGCAAUGGGCGAAAGCCUGACGGAGCAACGCCGCGUGAGUGAUGAAGGUCUUCGGAUCGUAAAACUCUGUUAUUAGGGAAGAACAAAUGUGUAAGUAACUAUGCACGUCUUGACGGUACCUAAUCAGAAAGCCACGGCUAACUACGUG